Molecule: long non-coding RNA, 1033 nt
Filed under: Sinocyclocheilus anshuiensis
Lineage: Eukaryota; Metazoa; Chordata; Actinopteri; Cypriniformes; Cyprinidae
Description: lncRNA (ENSSANG00000032637.1)
Source: RNAcentral
CCCUAGUUGAAGAGAAUAAAAUUGGCGCAAAACACAUGUAUCAGGAAUAGCAUUAGGGGAAGCCACUCUUUCAUGCAUCAUAAAUAUCUUGUGGCUGUGAGAGUGCGCUGAUGAAAUGCAAUAAACUGAUUUUGGCAACCAACAUCUGAGAUGCUGUGUGAUGCGAUUGGUCCGCUGGUUAGUCCAGUUAUCCAAUCACAUCCUCCGUUGCGCAUCAAGGGAUUUAUUCAGUAAAUGUGUUUUCAUUGUAGUUUAUACGCAUGUCGUCUUGUCGGAUAAAAUGCAUUUUUUUUUUAAGAAUUUAUGCACAACUUGGAUAAAUAAAUAACCUCAGAUUCAUAUAGGCUAAAACAGGUGGAUGGAAACAUAGCUAUUGUCAAAGUAACAAGCAUUCCUGUGACCACAACUAAUUUUGAAUGUUUUUGAUAGACUAACUGCCUUUGUUGGUAUUUACUUUUCAGUACCUUCGACUGUCAGAAACCUAAGAUCAGCAGACAAUGACAGCACAGUCAUAAUGGCCUUUUGGGAUCCGCCUACUGGCAAUCAUUCAGCUUACCGCUAUUGUCUUAAAGAAGUCAAACACAGCCACAAUUGCACUUACUGCAACAUCAUAUCAGACAGCAGCAUUACAACAAACGACAACAUUACCACAAACAGCAGCAGUACGACAGCAAAAUUCAAUAUUACAGACUGCAAAACAGUGGAUGGAACAGAAACAUUUAUCAGAGAGACUAAUACAUCAGACGGCAGCAAGUUUUGUCUGUGUGUGGCAGCGCUAACAAAGAACAACAACCUGUCAGGAGAAGUGGUUGUAAUCUCAACAUACACACGCCCCAAAACUGUGAUCCUCUCUUUGAGCCCUGACUUAAAAUCCAUGAAUGCCAACUGGACAAUAGGAGGGAAUUAUGAACAAUUUGAAGUGAUGAUUACAACAGAUGCAUACCUUGACAAUUAUCCCCGGCGAGAUAACACUAAAAUCAGUAGUUACACUUUCAAUAAUCUGAAGGCAGGAGUGUUUUACACCGUUUCAGUU